UACGUAGGGAGCAAGCGUUGUCCGGAAUCAUUGGGCGUAAAGCGCGCGUAGGUGGCCUCAUAAGUCCGUUGUGAAAGUCAAAGGCUCAACCUUUGAAAGCCGAUGGAUACUGUGAGACUAGAGUACGGAAGAGGCGAGUGGAAUUCCAGGUGUAGCGGUGAAAUGCGUAGAUAUCUGGAGGAACACCGGUGGCGAAGGCGGCAUCCUGGACCGGCAUUGACGCUGAGGCGCGAAAGCCAGGGGAGCAAACGGG
RNAcentral lists this ribosomal RNA (253 nucleotides) under uncultured bacterium. Its description in RNAcentral is "partial 16S ribosomal RNA". It matches the Rfam family "Bacterial small subunit ribosomal RNA", at positions 524 to 776 of the family's 1533-position model. The record is from RNAcentral.